UCCGAGGUUUUAAUUUAAGUUUUAUUCUUGUUAGGUUGUUCAUUUUAUUUUUAUGUUAUAUACUAGUUUUGUUCUGCUAAAUGUUUCAUUAUGUAGUAAUUUAAUUUAAUUAUUAUCAAGUUAUUUUGGAAUUAGUAAUUGAUUAAGUUUUGACAAAUUUUGUUCCAGCAGUCGCGGUUAUACAAUUAAUGCAUAUGAAUAUUUUUGACUUUGCAGAUUAUUAUUUUUAUAAGAUUUUUAAUUUCCUUAUUAUUGGGUUAAAUUUUAUUUUGAUUGAUUGGUCUUUUUUUUGAUUCUGUGAAAAUUUUUGUUUAAACUAAUUUUAGAGACAGUGUUAUUUUAAUUGUAAAUGUUUACUGUCAUUGUAUUAAUAGGUAAGUUUUUUAUACAUAAAGAAUUUGGCGGUAUUUCAUUCUAUUUAUAGGAAUUUAUCCCAUWAUUGAUAAUAAACUAUUUGUUGUACUUAAUUUAUGUUUGUAUAUUUCCGUCAUUAGAAUAUCUUUUUACAGUAAUAAAAUUUUCUUAAUUCUUAAUUUAGAAUUAUUUCAGGUCAAAAUGCAGCUUUAGUUAAUUUUAGUCAGGUUACAAUAAUUUUGUAUUUGUCGGUUUUAUUUAUGUAAAUUUUUAAUUAAGUUGGAUUUAAUAGUAAUUUAUUUAACUUUAUUUGUUUGAAAUUUGGUUUUGGAGUGUGUACACAUCGCCCGUCACUCUCAUUAUUUUAUUUUGUUUAAAUUAAUUUUUUUAUUUGAGAUAAGUCGUAACAUAGUAGGUGUACUGGAAAGUGUAUCUAGUAAGUUUU
This 799-nucleotide non-coding RNA is filed under the name Rubellia nigrosignata. The record is from RNAcentral. Lineage: Eukaryota; Metazoa; Arthropoda; Insecta; Orthoptera; Pyrgomorphidae.